AGACCCGAAACCCGGUGAUCUAGCCAUGGGCAGGUUGAAGGUUGGGUAACACUAACUGGAGGACCGAACCGACUAAUGUUGAAAAAUUAGCGGAUGACCUGUGGCUGGGGGUGAAAGGCCAAUCAAACCGGGAGAUAGCUGGUUCUCCCCGAAAGCUAUUUAGGUAGCGCCUCGUGAAUUCAUCUCCGGGGGUAGAGCACUGUUUCGGCUAGGGGGCCAUCCCGGCUUACCAACCCGAUGCAAACUGCGAAUACCGGAGAAUGUUAUCACGGGAGACACACGGCGGGUGCUAACGUCCGUCGUGAAGAGGGAAACAACCCAGACCGCCAGCUAAGGUCCCAAAGUCAUGGUUAAGUGGGAAACGAUGUGGGAAGGCCCAGACAGCCAGGAUGUUGGCUUAGAAGCAGCCAUCAUUUAAAGAAAGCGUAAUAGCUCACUGGUCGAGUCGGCCUGCGCGGAAGAUGUAACGGGGCUAAACCAUGCACCGAAGCUGCGGCAGCGAACGUAUCACCCAAGACAACUUUACGGAGUUGACGAUUGACGGAGCGAAGCGACGUCAAAGCGUUCAUUAAAGUCGAGUUGGCUUAGGGAUACGUUCGUUGGGUAGGGGAGCGUUCUGUAAGCCUGUGAAGGUGUGUCGUGAGGCAUGCUGGAGGUAUCAGAAGUGCGAAUGCUGACAUAAGUAACGAUAAAGCGGGUGAAAAGCCCGCUCGCCGGAAGACCAAGGGUUCCUGUCCAACGUUAAUCGGGGCAGGGUGAGUCGACCCCUAAGGCGAGGCCGAAAGGCGUAGUCGAUGGGAAACGGGUUAAUAUUCCCGUACUUGGUGUUACUGCGAAGGGGGGACGGAGAAGGCUAUGUUGGCCGGGCGACGGUUGUCCCGGUUUAAGCGUGUAGGUGUGUGUUCCAGGUAAAUCCGGUUCACUUUAACACUGAGGCGUGACGACGAGGCACUACGGUGCUGAAGCAACAAAUGCCCUGCUUCCAGGAAAAGCCUCUAAGCAUCAGGUAACAUCAAAUCGUACCCCAAACCGACACAGGUGGUCAGGUAGAGAAU
Molecule: ribosomal RNA, 1055 nt
Filed under: Salmonella enterica
Lineage: Bacteria; Pseudomonadati; Pseudomonadota; Gammaproteobacteria; Enterobacterales; Enterobacteriaceae
Also listed under: 1 other name
Description: partial 23S ribosomal RNA
Rfam family: Bacterial large subunit ribosomal RNA
Source: RNAcentral